CAUAUGAAAAGUGAGCACUUCCACGCUGCAUCAUCUUUGGAGCAACAAAUCGAAGGAGGUCUAAAAUGGAAUCAACAGUAUAUACUUUGUAAUCUGCAACUGCUUUGAUUCCUCCCCAUCCCAUUUCAUGGUACUCCGUCCACACAUCGCGGCAUGAUGCAUUUGAAUGGGCAAAGUUAUGACCCUUAACGGCAUCCCGGAAGUCUAUUCGUU
Molecule: unclassified non-coding RNA, 213 nt
Filed under: Hevea brasiliensis (rubber tree)
Lineage: Eukaryota; Viridiplantae; Streptophyta; Magnoliopsida; Malpighiales; Euphorbiaceae
Source: RNAcentral